This 211-nucleotide ribosomal RNA is filed under the name uncultured bacterium. Its description in RNAcentral is "partial 16S ribosomal RNA". It matches the Rfam family "Bacterial small subunit ribosomal RNA", at positions 1290 to 1500 of the family's 1533-position model. The record is from RNAcentral.
AGUUCGGAUUGCAGGCUGCAACCCGCCUGUAUGAAGUUGGAAUCGCUAGUAAUCGCGGAUCAGCAUGCCGCGGUGAAUACGUUCCCGGGCCUUGUACACACCGCCCGUCACACCAUGAGAGUCGGGAACACCCGAAGUCCGUAGCCUAACCGCAAGGAGGGCGCGGCCGAAGGUGGGUUCGAUAAUUGGGGUGAAGUCGUAACAAGGUAGC